ACACAUGCAAGUCGAACGAGAAUCUGCUGAAGGAGGAUUCGUCCAACGGAAGUAGAGGAAAGUGGCGGACGGGUGAGUAACGCGUGAGGAACCUGCCUUGAAGAGGGGGACAACAGUUGGAAACGACUGCUAAUACCGCAUGACGCAUAGAGGUCGCAUGAUCUUUAUGCCAAAGAUUUAUCGCUUCAAGAUGGCCUCGCGUCUGAUUAGCUAGUUGGCGGGGUAACGGCCCACCAAGGCGACGAUCAGUAGCCGGACUGAGAGGUUGAACGGCCACAUUGGGACUGAGAUACGGCCCAGACUCCUACGGGAGGCAGCAGUGGGGAAUAUUGGGCAAUGGGCGCAAGCCUGACCCAGCAACGCCGCGUGAAGGAAGAAGGCUUUCGGGUUGUAAACUUCUUUUAAGAGGGAAGAGCAGAAGACGGUACCUCUAGAAUAAGCCACGGCUAACUACGUGCCAGCAGCCGCGGUAAUACGUAGGUGGCAAGCGUUGUCCGGAUUUACUGGGUGUAAAGGGCGUGCAGCCGGGUCUGCAAGUCAGAUGUGAAAUCCAUGGGCUCAACCCAUGAACUGCAUUUGAAACUGUAGAUCUUGAGUGUCGGAGGGGCAAUCGGAAUUCCUAGUGUAGCGGUGAAAUGCGUAGAUAUUAGGAGGAACACCAGUGGCGAAGGCGGAUUGCUGGACGAUAACUGACGGUGAGGCGCGAAAGUGUGGGGAGCAAACAGGAUUAGAUACCCUGGUAGUCCACACUGUAAACGAUGAAUACUAGGUGUGCGGGGACUGACCCCCUGCGUGCCGCA
This 800-nucleotide ribosomal RNA is filed under the name uncultured bacterium. RNAcentral's name for it is "bacterial SSU rRNA". It matches the Rfam family "Bacterial small subunit ribosomal RNA", at positions 51 to 850 of the family's 1533-position model. The record is from RNAcentral.